GACGAACGCUGGCGGCGUGCUUAACACAUGCAAGUCGAACGGAAAGGCCCUGCUUUUGUGGGGUGCUCGAGUGGCGAACGGGUGAGUAACACGUGAGUAACCUGCCCUUGACUUUGGGAUAACUUCAGGAAACUGGGGCUAAUACCGGAUAGGAGCUCCUGCUGCAUGGUGGGGGUUGGAAAGUUUCGGCGGUUGGGGAUGGACUCGCGGCUUAUCAGCUUGUUGGUGGGGUAGUGGCUUACCAAGGCUUUGACGGGUAGCCGGCCUGAGAGGGUGACCGGCCACAUUGGGACUGAGAUACGGCCCAGACUCCUACGGGAGGCAGCAGUGGGGAAUAUUGCACAAUGAGCGGAAGCCUGAUGCAGCAACGCCGCGUGCGGGAUGACGGCCUUCGGGUUGUAAACCGCUUUCGCCUGUGACGAAGCGUGAGUGAUGGUAAUGGGUAAAGAAGCACCGGCUAACUACGUG
Molecule: ribosomal RNA, 468 nt
Filed under: uncultured bacterium
Lineage: Bacteria
Description: partial 16S ribosomal RNA
Rfam family: Bacterial small subunit ribosomal RNA
Source: RNAcentral